Molecule: long non-coding RNA, 1112 nt
Organism: Oxyura jamaicensis (ruddy duck)
Lineage: Eukaryota; Metazoa; Chordata; Aves; Anseriformes; Anatidae
Exons: 2
Source: RefSeq, a predicted model, not a curated record
UCUGUAGAAAACAAACAAACAAUUAAGAUUUGAACUUUCCACCUGUAAGGAAACUGAGAUGGUUUCAGUGUCUUCAGUAUUACUCCCCUCUGUGCUUCUCUGACCUGUCUACAACUUUAUGACUUCAGUGCCUGAAGUUAUCUGAUGCUGCACUCCAGCUGCACCCAUCCCACUCACAGCAGAAGAUUGUUUUUAAUCUCACAUCUUCUUACACAACUUUCCUGGUCAUACAUUAUUCUGGAAUGAUUUAAUACUUUACCCCAGUCAGAAAUACACCCAGCCAAUUUCCUUUGGAAGCCUCAUUAAUGCAUCAGCUAUAUAGCUUCACAGUGAGAUUAGUUACCAGGAUUACUAGUCCUCAGAAGUGUUAAGAAAGUACAUUUUGUUCACUCCAUCAAGCUAACAAAUAUUUCUUAAUACUGAUUGAAAUAGAGGGCAAUGUUUCACCUCUAAAAGAAAUAUUUUCUAGCUUAUGAGAGUUGGCUUUUGAAGGAAAAAUACAUUGUACAUUGUAUGGUUGCUAAACAAUACUGAUUUAUCGGUAUUUUCUCAUGCCUUGUUGUGCAUAAGGGCUUAGGUCCUGUGUUGUUAUCUACGAAGCAGAAAUUAUAUAUGAAGAAUCCUCAUACUAAAUACGAGAUUUGAGAAAAGCAGAAGUUAAGAGUUGUUCAUUUCAAAGUUUAAUUAUUGAAGGUUAAGUAAGGCAUAGGUAUCUUAUUUCUGAAAAAUGUCAAACAAAAUUGGUGAUGUCUACCCUAUCAUAGACUUAAUCUGUAGAAAAUGUACUACUCACCAACUGUCUACGUUAGGGCUAUAUUCAGUCACAUCAUCCUGAAGAGACUGUGGGGAAUCCAUAUCUUCCCCAUUUCCAGAUGCACUGCAGAAAACAAAAAGCAUAACUGCUAAGUCAAGAAGAUAUUGGAAGACAUUUUGCCAAAUUGCCUGAUGAAUCAGUCAAUACUAGGAAGCAGUAUCUACAAUAGAACUGAAAUUAAUCUGAUUUGACACUGACUUUAAUUUUAUCAUUUUAUCUCUCUUGUAUAUUUUCAAAUGAGUGGUAAGAAGGAUGAGACCCAAAGGAUUUUAUUAUAUUUUCAAAAAUCUUUAGGAAA